This 253-nucleotide ribosomal RNA is filed under the name uncultured bacterium. RNAcentral's name for it is "partial 16S ribosomal RNA". It matches the Rfam family "Bacterial small subunit ribosomal RNA", at positions 524 to 776 of the family's 1533-position model. The record is from RNAcentral.
UACGGGGGGGGUAAGCGUUGUUCGGAAUUACUGGGCGUAAAGGGCUCGUAGGCGGCCAACUAAGUCAUACGUGAAAUCCCUCAGCUUAACUGGGGAACUGCGUGUGAUACUGGAUGGCUUGGAUUUGGGAGAGGGAUGCGGAAUUCCAGGUGUAGCGGUGAAAUGCGUAGAUAUCAGGAAGAACACCAAUGGCGAAGGCAGCUCUCUGGGACGGUACUGACGCUGAGACGCGAAAGCGUGGGGAGCGAACAGG